GGAUCCUUUGAUUCCUUGUUCGUAUAUAAUAUUCUCUUAGUGUUAAAAAGAAGAAGAUAUACUGUACAUUGUGAAUUCGUCAUAUAUUUAUUGACUUCGUUGAUAUUACACAAAAGAUUUUGAAUAAGAGAGAGUUAGGUCACUGGUGUUGGAAACUGAGAUUAACAUGUAAUGACGUUGAAGGUUUAAACCCAUCAUAUCUUUUUGAAUAAUAGAGAGUUAGGUCACUGGUGUUGGGAAUUGAGAUUAAUAUAUAGUGACGUUAUAUCAAUUAAAAUUGCUAAACCUUAGUCGCAAAAAAAAAUUGCUA
RNAcentral lists this long non-coding RNA (310 nucleotides) under Brassica napus (rape). RNAcentral describes it as "long non-coding RNA (BNAP_LNC022375)". The record is from RNAcentral. Lineage: Eukaryota; Viridiplantae; Streptophyta; Magnoliopsida; Brassicales; Brassicaceae.